Molecule: unclassified non-coding RNA, 301 nt
Filed under: Acaulospora cavernata
Lineage: Eukaryota; Fungi; Glomeromycota; Glomeromycetes; Diversisporales; Acaulosporaceae
Description: partial contains 5.8S ribosomal RNA and internal transcribed spacer 2
Rfam family: 5.8S ribosomal RNA (bases 1-71)
Source: RNAcentral
GUGAAUCAUCGAAUUUUUGAACGCAAAUUGCACUCUUUGGUAUUCCGAAGAGUAUGCUUGUUUGAGGGUUGUUCCAAUAAAAUCGUUUUUUUUUUAAAAACGGAUCUGAGUUUUCCAAGGUUUAUGAUUUUGGUAACUUUAAAUUCAUCUUAACGAUAUCUUUGGUAUGAUAUUGGAAAUGGUUAUAUUCUUACUUCUCGUGAGUUUCAUUAACAAUCGAUUACCUGUCGUUACGUCGUAUCAUUGGCCCAAUCCUUUUGAUUGGAUCACAUGAUACAAUUUUUUCUUUCAACACCUCAAG